Molecule: ribosomal RNA, 252 nt
Filed under: uncultured Acidobacteriota bacterium
Lineage: Bacteria; Pseudomonadati; Acidobacteriota
Description: uncultured Acidobacteria bacterium partial 16S ribosomal RNA
Rfam family: Bacterial small subunit ribosomal RNA
Source: RNAcentral
UACGGGGGGAGCAAGCGUUGUUCGGAUUUACUGGGCGUAAAGGGCGCGUAGGCGGCCACCGCAAGUCAGUUGUGAAAGCUCUGGGCUUAACCCAGAAAGGUCAACUGAUACUGCGGGGCUAGAGUGCAGAAGGGGCAACUGGAAUUCUCGGUGUAGCGGUGAAAUGCGUAGAUAUCGAGAGGAACACCUGCGGCGAAGGCGGGUUGCUGGGCUGACACUGACGCUGAUGUGCGAAAGCUAGGAGCGAACGGG